This 326-nucleotide ribosomal RNA is filed under the name Vibrio vulnificus. RNAcentral describes it as "partial 23S ribosomal RNA". It matches the Rfam family "Bacterial large subunit ribosomal RNA", at positions 1 to 364 of the family's 2925-position model. Lineage: Bacteria; Pseudomonadati; Pseudomonadota; Gammaproteobacteria; Vibrionales; Vibrionaceae. The record is from RNAcentral.
GUUGUAUGGUUAAGUGACUAAGCGUACACGGUGGAUGCCUUGGCAGUCAGAGGCGAUGAAGGACGUAGUAACUUGCGAUAAGCGUAGAUGAGGCAGUAACAGCCACUUGAGUCUACGAUUUCCGAAUGGGGAAACCCACUGGCAUAAGCCAGUAUCAUUGAGUGAAUACAUAGCUCAAUGAAGCGAACCGGGAGAACUGAAACAUCUAAGUACCCCGAGGAAAAGAAAUCAACCGAGAUUCCGAAAGUAGCGGCGAGCGAAAUUGGAUUAGCCCUUAAGCUUUACAUGUGUUAGACGAACGGUCUGGAAAGUCCGACGAUACAGGG